This 420-nucleotide unclassified non-coding RNA is filed under the name fungal sp. Its description in RNAcentral is "partial internal transcribed spacer region". The stretch from base 1 to 46 matches the Rfam family "Eukaryotic small subunit ribosomal RNA", at positions 1786 to 1831 of the family's 1831-position model. The record is from RNAcentral. Lineage: Eukaryota; Fungi.
AAGUCGUAACAAGGUUUCCGUAGGUGAACCUGCGGAAGGAUCAUUAACACGUAUCCAAACGUUAAAAGCUCUUGUAACCCGCGUAGUUCGCAGUCUCUGAUAAAUCAUAGCCCGGAAAGUUGUAGUGAUUCAGAGACCUCUGGCUACGUGCGAACAUUGGAACAGUUACAAUCGAGCGGUAGUUCUAUAGGCAAUGUUUCCCCAAGCAGUCAGUGUCGGAAAGUGUCAUUGAUUGUGCAAGGAUAGCGCUUCUACGAUUCCUGUAGACCGUACACUCGGGCAAGAGCUUUGUACACUCGGGCAAGAGCUUUGCCAAAGGGUCCCCAUGCCCCCUAAUAACCCCACAGUUUAAUGUGAAGCUCAAUGUAAUACAUUGGGUAAAAAACCGAACAACUGUUAACAAUGGAUAUCUUGGUUCUC